Molecule: ribosomal RNA, 496 nt
Filed under: uncultured bacterium
Lineage: Bacteria
Description: partial 16S ribosomal RNA
Rfam family: Bacterial small subunit ribosomal RNA
Source: RNAcentral
AUGAACGCUGGCGGCGUGCCUAAUACAUGCAAGUCGAGCGAACGGACGAGAAGCUUGCUUCUCUGAUGUUAGCGGCGGACGGGUGAGUUACACGUGGAUAACCUACCUAUAAGACUGAGAUAACUUCGGGAAACCGUAGCUAAUACCGGAUAAUAUUUUGAACCGCAUAGUUCAAAAGUGAAAGACGGUCUUGCUGUCACUUAUAGAUGGAUCCGCGCUGCAUUAGCUAGUUGGUAAGGUAACGGCUUACCAAGGCAACGAUGCAUAGCCGACCUGAGAGGGUGAUCAGCCACACUGGAACUGAGACACGGUCCAGACUCCUACGGGAGGCAGCAGUAGGGAAUCUUCCGCAAUGGGCGAAAGCCUGACGGAGCAACGCCGCGUGAGUGAUGAAGGUCUUCGGAUCGUAAAACUCUGUUAUUAGGGAAGAACAUAUGUGUAAGUAACUGUGCACAUCUUGACGGUACCUAAUCAGAAAGCCACGGCUAACUACGUG